RNAcentral lists this ribosomal RNA (529 nucleotides) under fungal sp. Its description in RNAcentral is "eukaryotic LSU rRNA". The stretch from base 164 to 317 matches the Rfam family "5.8S ribosomal RNA". The record is from RNAcentral. Lineage: Eukaryota; Fungi.
GGGUAGUAUGACGCGGGCUGGACCUCUCGGGGUUACAGCCUUGCUGAAUUAUUCACCCUUGUCUUUUGCGUACUUCUUGUUUCCUUGGUGGGUUCGCCCACCACUAGGACAAACAUAAACCUUUUGUAAUUGCAAUCAGCGUCAGUAACAAAUUAAUAAUUACAACUUUCAACAACGGAUCUCUUGGUUCUGGCAUCGAUGAAGAACGCAGCGAAAUGCGAUAAGUAGUGUGAAUUGCAGAAUUCAGUGAAUCAUCGAAUCUUUGAACGCACAUUGCGCCCUUUGGUAUUCCAAAGGGCAUGCCUGUUCGAGCGUCAUUUGUACCCUCAAGCUUUGCUUGGUGUUGGGCGUCUUGUCUCUAGCUUUGCUGGAGACUCGCCUUAAAGUAAUUGGCAGCCGGCCUACUGGUUUCGGAGCGCAGCACAAGUCGCACUCUCUAUCAGCAAAGGUCUAGCAUCCAUUAAGCCUUUUUUUCAACUUUUGACCUCGGAUCAGGUAGGGAUACCCGCUGAACUUAAGCAUAUCAAAA